This 320-nucleotide unclassified non-coding RNA is filed under the name plant metagenome. Its description in RNAcentral is "partial contains 5.8S ribosomal RNA, internal transcribed spacer 2, and large subunit ribosomal RNA". The stretch from base 1 to 105 matches the Rfam family "5.8S ribosomal RNA", at positions 50 to 154 of the family's 154-position model. The record is from RNAcentral.
GAAAUGCGAUAAGUAAUGUAAAUUGCAGAAUUCAGUGAAUCAUCGAAUCUUUGAACGCACAUUGCGCCCGCCAGUAUUCUGGCGGGCAUGCCUGUUCGAGCGUCAUUACAACCCUCAGGCCCCCGGGCCUGGCGUUGGGGAUCGGCGGAAGCCCCCUGCGGGCACAACGCCGUCCCCCAAAUACAGUGGCGGUCCCGCCGCAGCUUCCAUUGCGUAGUAGCUAACACCUCGCAACUGGAGAGCGGCGCGGCCACGCCGUAAAACACCCAACUUCUGAAUGUUGACCUCGAAUCAGGUAGGAAUACCCGCUGAACUUAAGC